This 125-nucleotide ribosomal RNA is filed under the name uncultured Thermincola sp. RNAcentral's name for it is "partial 16S ribosomal RNA". It matches the Rfam family "Bacterial small subunit ribosomal RNA", at positions 1258 to 1382 of the family's 1533-position model. The record is from RNAcentral. Lineage: Bacteria; Bacillati; Bacillota; Clostridia; Eubacteriales; Thermincolaceae.
UGACCCGGAGCAAAUCCCAACAAACCGGUCUCAGUUCGGAUUGUAGUCUGCAACUCGACUACAUGAAGUCGGAAUCGCUAGUAAUCGCAGGUCAGCAUACCGCGGUGAAUACGUUCCCGGGCCUU